RNAcentral lists this transfer RNA (73 nucleotides) under Cordylochernes scorpioides. Its description in RNAcentral is "tRNA-Thr". It matches the Rfam family "tRNA". From Rfam's summary of the family: Transfer RNA (tRNA) molecules are approximately 80 nucleotides in length. The record is from RNAcentral. Lineage: Eukaryota; Metazoa; Arthropoda; Arachnida; Pseudoscorpiones; Chernetidae.
UCCAGGGUAACCGAGUGGACAAGGCACCUGCCCGGUAAGCAGAAGGGUGUGGGUUCGAUUCCCGCCCCUGGAC